GGCUCUGUGGCGCAAUGGAUAGCGCAUUGGACUUCUAGCUGAGCCUGGAGUGGCGAUUCAAAGGUUGUGGGUUCGAGUCCCACCAGAGUCG
This is a transfer RNA of Loxodonta africana (African savanna elephant), 91 nucleotides long. It matches the Rfam family "tRNA". From Rfam's summary of the family: Transfer RNA (tRNA) molecules are approximately 80 nucleotides in length. Their secondary structure includes four short double-helical elements and three loops (D, anti-codon, and T loops). The record is from Rfam. NCBI's taxonomy places the organism in Eukaryota, Metazoa, Chordata, Mammalia, Proboscidea, Elephantidae.